Molecule: ribosomal RNA, 207 nt
Filed under: uncultured bacterium
Lineage: Bacteria
Description: partial 16S ribosomal RNA
Rfam family: Bacterial small subunit ribosomal RNA
Source: RNAcentral
CGUGUAGGUGGAUAGAUAAGUUAUGUGUGAAAUAUCCGGGCUUAACCUGGAGGGGCCAUGUAAUACUGUCUAUCUAGAGUAGAGCAGAGGGAAGUAGAAUUUCCGGUGUAGCGGUGAAAUGCGUAGAGAUCGGAAGGAAUACCAGUGGCGAAGGCGGCUUCCUGGGCUCAUACUGACACUGAGGCGCGAAAGCGUGGGUAGCAAACA